RNAcentral lists this ribosomal RNA (400 nucleotides) under uncultured bacterium. Its description in RNAcentral is "bacterial SSU rRNA". It matches the Rfam family "Bacterial small subunit ribosomal RNA", at positions 355 to 748 of the family's 1533-position model. The record is from RNAcentral.
UCGCGAAUUUUUCACAAUGGGCGCAAGCCUGAUGGAGCCACGCCGUGUGCAGGAUGAAGGCCCUCUGGGUUGUAAACUGCUGUCAGGGAAGGGGAAACGCUUGGCGUGAAUAGCGUCAGGUUUGACUGCUUUCCAAAGGAAGCCCCGGCAAAACAUGUGCCAGCAGCCGCGGUAAUACAUGUGGGGCAAGCGUUGUUCGGAAUCACUGGGCAUAAAGGGUGCGUAGGCGGCAUGACAAGUCAGUGGUGAAAUCCUUCGGCCCAACCGGAGAACUGCCAUUGAUACUGUUGUGCUUGAGUGCGGGAGGGGUAGCUGGAACGAGUGGUGUAGCGGUGAAAUGCGUAGAUAUCACUCGGAACACCAAAGGCGAAGGCAGGCUACUGGACCGCAACUGACGCUG